CUUUUAUAAAAAUAAAAUCAAAAUGAAUAGAGAAACAGACCUCAUGUCCAAGGGCCACUUCACAGCCCACUACAGAAGCCUAACAAGUUUUCGAUAACAACAUUGAGAAAUAGAUAAAGAGAAAACAAAAUUAAAGAAAAAACAAAGCAUUAAAACCCCACUUUCUCGAGAAAGCCAUCAUCCGUCCUAUCAUCUGUCCAGCCAUAAUUACCUGACGGUUUAACUUUCCCAAAACCCUUUUGCCGUCCAAAAUGCUCCCCUUGUUGUUUCCAGAUAUUCAUUUCCUCCAAAAAAACCAUUUCUUCUCCGAUGUUUUGAAUCCCAGGGAGCAAACAUUGCCUUUCUUCAAAGACUUCAGUCUGGUUCUCUGAUCCAAUCGUCUUCUAGUGCUUUAACUGCAUAUAUUGGCACUAAUCCUUCCAGGUAAAACUCUUCCCUUUUCUUCAAGCUUUUAGUUGCUAUAGUGUCUGCCAGAUUGUUUGCUUUACGACGAACAUGUUGGAAUUUGAGUAAUCUAAACUUGCUCUGCAAAGCCUUUAUGUCUUGGAUAAUAGAACAUAUUUUUUAUUUGUCUCUAAAGUCUGAAAUGCAUUUCUUAAUGACUGAUAUCGAGUCCCUUUCAAUAUGGAUUUUAUGGUCUUUUAGUUGUAACCCUAGUUUUACUGCCUCUAAACAUGCAUGUACUUUUGCUGCGAAAGUCGAACCGACGUUCUCAUGGAUGGUUGCUUUUGAGGCGAUCACUUUGCCCCUUCCAUCUUGAGCAACCACUCCCAAUCCUACUCUGAAGAAAUCCUUAUUAAAGUCGGCAUCAAAAUUGAUUUUUAUAUCCUCUCAAGAAGAAGGAACCCACGUUUCUUUGAUUAUCUCCUUGUUAAGUCAUUUAUCCUCUAAGCAGUCCAACUCUUUUAUAUAUCUAUGAAUGAAAAAAUCCAUAUCCUUACUCGAUUUGUUUAUUUGUUCAUGCACAUAUUUGUUCCUCUCCGUCCAUAAGACCCAAAGGGAGAUACAGAUCACUUGCCUCUAGGAAUUUGGACAAUUAUCAAAAGCCCAAGUAAGCGAUUCAAACCAGUCUUAAAUAUUAUUUGGUAUUAGCCACUGUAAAUUCUCUAAUCUCCAUACUUCUAUUGCAACAAGGUAGAUAAGGAUGACAUGUGGUGCGUUUUCUACCUCUUUCCCACAUCGUGGAUACUCUAUGUUUGUUACCAGUCUCUUAAAAUGAAGGUUUCCUUAGUUAGGAUAAAGUUUUUUUAGAUGCGCCAUACUGUAAUUUGAACUUUAGGUAGGACUUUUAAAUUCCAUAGUGUUCGAUAGAAAUCUCUUGAAAUGAGUUGUAAUGUAUUUAAAGUAGGAGUAGGAAUACCCAUCUGUAAUAGUUUGUAGGCACUGUGCAUCGAGAACACUCCUGAUGGCUCACCCCUCCAAGCUAGAUCAUCUUCAUAAGAAAUUACUGCCAGUGUGAUUUGAAGGAUCCUUUCCGCAUCAAAGGUAUUAGAAAUUAUCUCUUCUCUCCAUUCUCUUUUAUUAUUAUCAAUGAGCUCAACAAAAUACUCCAAAUUGCAAUUAUCAACUGGAUGACUUAUCCCGUAAUUAUCAAAACCUGGUAACCAUGCAUGAUUAAAAAUAGAAACAUUAUCACCCUUUUCCACCCUCCAACACGUGCCUUCCUGAUGCAUUUUUCUCGUCGCCCAUAUAUUAUUCCACGUGUGGGAAGCAUUAUGUUUUAAACUUGCUUGUAAAAAUUUCGAAUUGGGGUCAUAUUUUGCUUUUAAAACUUUUGCCGGU
This 1782-nucleotide long non-coding RNA is filed under the name Gossypium barbadense (sea-island cotton). RNAcentral's name for it is "long non-coding RNA (GBAR_LNC022586)". Lineage: Eukaryota; Viridiplantae; Streptophyta; Magnoliopsida; Malvales; Malvaceae. The record is from RNAcentral.